Long non-coding RNA from Alosa alosa (allis shad), 1230 nucleotides. RefSeq lists it as uncharacterized. Lineage: Eukaryota; Metazoa; Chordata; Actinopteri; Clupeiformes; Clupeidae. The record is from RefSeq and is a predicted model, not a curated record. The transcript has 6 exons.
AGGGAUGUCUGGCGAAAGCCAUGUGGAGCAAGGGCGUUGUAUUUAAUGUCAGUAUUAAAUAGGGUAGUUGUCUUACACUUGAGAACCAAUUUAAUUUUAAAGCAGUACUACCUAGCAGCAACAACCUUUGUGUGGUUGGCGUCAACGUGGACAUUUAUUUCACCUGCUAGCGGAAAAGUUCAGUUCGACCAUAACGACUGCUUCGUGUGAGCGGAGGUCACGACCAGCCGAAACUCCCUGGUUUUCAACACGACCUGGAACCUGCAAACGAAUACGGAGUACUGUUGUGAGGAGUCCAAACUUCAGACGUCUCAGCCUUGGGAUCAUCUACAUGACCUGCCUUGCAAGUGGAACAGAGAACUCAACUGACUGGUUUUGAUGAACUAAUGACGGAGGAAAUGGAUUCUGGUGUGAGUGUGAGUGGCUGUGGGAGGCAAUGCAACAUGAAGGUCAUUUGCAGCUUCUCAAAUCCAGCCUGGGCUUUAGACUGAAGGCAAGCCAGUGGUACAGUGCUUGCCAAAAGCCGAUGUUGCAUGUCCCAACAGGAGAACGCUACAUGAGAAGGAAAGUAAGUAAUGUGGCGUGCAGGAGGUUAAGAUGAAGUGCAGUUCUUCAUAAUUUCAUGAGGAGAAAAGGGAGACAAAAGACAAGUUGCUCGGUCAUGGCUGCCCCUCAAGGCCUUGUGAAGACGGCCAGACAACAAAGACUGGGAAUGUUUUUUGUGUGUGUGUGUGUUUAUUUCUUCACACAGAUGAGUGAAUGAGGUCAUGACGAAACACUUCGGCGCCUCGCCCAAAGGAGACAGUGGCGCAGACCCUAGUCAUGGAUUCACCUCCAAGCCGUGUGAAGACACUGGGACAGGCAGGAGUUGAAUCGAUGCCGUUGACGAGACAUGGUCCCUCUGAGAAGCUACACACAGUCCCCCAGUCCUGUCUUUGAUACUGUAGCACUCUGGUUUGUAAAUGUGUUAGGCAGAUCCACCCCCAGCCCGGUUAUUUAGCGGUCAUCACAAAUUACACUAUGCUCCCUCAUCAGUUAGAAAUGACAAAGAAAAUUCAAACAAGUUUUGUAUUAUUAUAAUUGUAUUACAAUUUGUAACCAAAUUGUAUUUGGUUAAGUCAUUGCAUUUUGUCCAAUGAACACUAUUGUAUAUUUUACAUUGGUAUUUUUUUGUGAGUUCAUUUACUGAAACAUUUGUUUUUCUUGUAUGAAUGUAUUGUUAUUCUUGUU